This is a long non-coding RNA of Sebastes umbrosus (honeycomb rockfish), 159 nucleotides long. RefSeq lists it as uncharacterized. Lineage: Eukaryota; Metazoa; Chordata; Actinopteri; Perciformes; Sebastidae. The record is from RefSeq and is a predicted model, not a curated record. The transcript is spliced from 4 exons.
UGGAAGAAGUCACAUAAAGGAAUUCAUAUUAAAUUUCCUGAGUUGAAUGAGGAGGAAUCAGCAAUCAGUGCUGCGAGUGUUCCCUGAAUCAGACGUAUAUACGUUGUUCUUCUUGGAGAACUUGAGAGCGCUGAAGGAGACCCUCAUCCUCUCCACCGU